This 503-nucleotide unclassified non-coding RNA is filed under the name Hevea brasiliensis (rubber tree). The record is from RNAcentral. Lineage: Eukaryota; Viridiplantae; Streptophyta; Magnoliopsida; Malpighiales; Euphorbiaceae.
GGAAGAAUACAGAAUCGAUUAGGCAACCCAAUGUGGGUUGGACUCAUUGAACUGCAACAAGCUAAACCCAAACAGGAAAUCCUUCAUUUUGUACCAGACCAUGGCUGAGAUACAGGCGUGCUACUCAAGAAGCCUGUUACAGGUGCCAACACCAACAGCCGCGGCAAGAUGCCAACCAGCAUGAAUGAAAGGAGUCCUAGGAAACAGAUCAUCUGCAAUGAAAAGAACUCCUCCUAACAAGGAUGACAUCUUAUGCAGAUUAUGUGCAUUCCUUAGCUCUGGAUCUUUUAGUGCUCUUUUUGCAAAUGCCACCUCCAUCAUCCCUGUGUGAACAGCAGACACCAGUAAAGGCUGGAUAGGCAAUAAUGCUGCAGAUGCUGCCAUCAGCAACUUAGGGUUCUCAUUUCUAAGGGCUCUUGACAAACAUAAUGUUGCUGUGGCUAUCAUUGUAUAAUCAAACCAUCUCAAGUACUUCCUUAUUUUUCCUCUUGAAGAAUGAUACA